UGCAGAUCUGCACACAUUGGAAUUUCGCUAACUCCUCCGAAGGCUUUCGUUCGACCGGCACCACAUUUGCGCAGGCCAAUCUACACCCCAUGGCCAUUAAAAGUUGUACAAAUCAUGACGCUGCACCCCACGGUUUACGUUCUAGGGGGCGCCAAAGAUAACCCAAAAAUCCACAUUCUUAAAAGUCUUAUAACUUUUUACUUUUGUCCUCACUGGCCUCCAAGUUUUCUAGGAUGAUGCAAUGUCCAGCCAUCAACACAAUUUUGAAGGAAUUUUUACUCCCCAAAAGAGCGCCCCCCAAUGGCAGGAGAAAAAGGUCCAUUUUUUCUUGUCUCCAAAGGUCAAAAUACACAUUGUCGAGUGUCACGUUUGUAUGCUUUGUCAUAUUGACACAAAAUUUGACAAUCACAUGUAUCUCAAUAAGAUCUACGAAAAAGUCAAAGGGCAUGUAUCUGUCAAAUGUACGGUUAAAGGGCUAUUUUGCAUUUUUUGCCGAUCCGCACACAUUGGAAUUUCACUAACUCCUCCGAAGGCUAUCUUUCCACCGGCACCAAAUUUGCUCAGGCCAAUCUACACCCCAUGGCCAUUAAAAGUUGUACAAAUCAUCUUGCUGCACCCCACGUUUUGGGUUCUAGGGGGCACCAAAUAUAACCCAAAAAUCCACAUUCUUAAAAGUCUUAUAACUUUUUAUUUUUUUCCAUACUGGCCUCCAAGUUUUUUAGGAUGAUGCAAUGUCCAGCCAUCAACACAUUUGUGAAGAAAUUUUUACUCCCCAAAAGAGUGCCCCCCCAUGGCAGGAGAAAAAAGUCCAUUUUUUCUUAUCCCGAAAGGUGAAAAUACACGUUGUUGAGUGUCACGCCUUUACGCUUUGUCAUAUUGACAAAAAAAUUGACAAUCAUGUGUAUCUCAAUUAGAUCUACGAAAAAGUCAAAGAGCGCGUAUCUGUAUAAUGUACGGUUAAAGGGCUAUUUUGCAUUUUUUGCCGAUUCGCACACAUUGGAAUGUGGCUAUCUCCUCCUAAGGCUUUCGUCCCACCGAUACCAAAUUUGCUCAGGGCAAUCUACACCCCAUGCCCAUUCAAAGUUGUAAAAAUCAUGACGCUGCACCCCACGGUUUACGUUCUAGGGGGCGCCAAAGAUGACCCAAAAAUCCACAUUCUUAAAAGUCAUUUUGGCCACUGCAGGAGUACAGAGUACUGCAGUUCUAGGGGGCGCCAAAGAUGACCCAAAAAUCCACAUUCUUAAAAGUCUUUUUGGCCACUGCAGGAGUACAGAGUACUGCAGGAUACACACACAUAUACACACACGCCAACAUACACACACACACACACACACACAGACACACACACACACACUCAGAGUCUGGUUUUUAGCACCUUCAAAAACAUGCUGUUUACAUAUUUGACAAGAAUGCAGAGGCUUCCUUUUGCCCCUGAAAAAAAUCAAAUUUCAAACACAACUUGACUGUUCAUUUCUCCAAAAGACAACCAUGAAGCUCCAUUUCAAACCUGAAGCAGAUAGUUGGUGCAUGUGUACAGUAACCUGAGGGGAGUGAGGUGACUAUUUCUGAGGAGAACAUGAGCAGUAAGAUUCACCUUGGAGCUAGAACAGGGACGUGCACAUGAUUAUACAGGGGCAGGGGCUCAAGUUUUUUCCAGUCAUUUAUACAAUAUGGAAAUUAAUGUGAAAUUAAACCACAAAUAUGUGUGAUGAACUGUUUUUAAAACUUAAACUUCAAAUAAAAAUUGUAAACUUCAAAACAUAUGCAAAUUUUUAACAAAGAACAUAGUAAUUUACCUCUAUUUACAUCAAAAUGCAGGCAAUGGCCCAGGCGUUCUUUGUAAAAUUAUUUACAAAACACUGUAUAGUCUCACAAAUGUCACUUUUUAUUUAUGCCACUACAAAAAAACAUGAUGUAAAUGAUGCAUGAUGUAAAACAUGAUGUAAAAAACUUGUGUAGAUCCUCCUCUAUGUCAGUCCAUGUGUAAUUUUUCCAUAAUUCUUUGUUUUUUGCAGCAUUUUUGUUAGUGUAACUGCAGAUUGUGCUGACAGUGUCUAUGGCACAAAAAAAAAAAAAAAUUUAAAAUGCCUCAACAUGAACCCCUGGUGGUCUCUGAGGGUGAAACCUGCUAACUGCUGCAGCUCAGUCAGCUUCAGUCUCCCAUGCAGAGCUCUGAGCGCAUGUGUGGCUCUGCACCCUUAGCAGCGUUGCUAACUCCUCAGUAAGGAAAGCCUGCUUCAUGUCAGAGUCUCUAAACUCCAGAAGAAGUCGAUAAAAGUCCCUUUCUUUCUAAAAAAAAGUCGUUAGGGGGUCUGAAAAGUCAUUGAAUCUAACAACAAAGUCGCUAGGUUUGCAACUACGUGUCCCAGACUGCAUCCCUG
RNAcentral lists this long non-coding RNA (2381 nucleotides) under Xyrichtys novacula (pearly razorfish). The record is from RNAcentral. Lineage: Eukaryota; Metazoa; Chordata; Actinopteri; Labriformes; Labridae.